GUUGCGGUAGCUCAGUUGGUAGAGCAUAGAUGUGUGUGGGAAUCAUCUUCUUCCAGGAGGUCAACUUACACAUACUUCUGCAAUGAGAGCCUAGUGUCGCAGGUUCGAGUCCUGCCCGCAGCC
Molecule: transfer RNA, 123 nt
Filed under: Prevotella sp.
Lineage: Bacteria; Pseudomonadati; Bacteroidota; Bacteroidia; Bacteroidales; Prevotellaceae
Also listed under: 2 other names
Description: tRNA-OTHER
Rfam family: tRNA
About the family: Transfer RNA (tRNA) molecules are approximately 80 nucleotides in length. Their secondary structure includes four short double-helical elements and three loops (D, anti-codon, and T loops).
Source: RNAcentral